Molecule: non-coding RNA, 28 nt
Filed under: Homo sapiens (human)
Lineage: Eukaryota; Metazoa; Chordata; Mammalia; Primates; Hominidae
Source: RNAcentral
UGCUGAGGGAAUGAAUCGGUACCUCGGG